AAAUAGAUACCCAGGUAGUCCACGCCGUAAACGAUGAGUGCUAAGUGGUUAGAGGGUUUCCGCCCUUUAGUGCUGCAGCUAACGCAUUAAGCACUCCGCCUGGGGAGUACGGCCGCAAGGCUGAAACUCAAAGGAAUUGACGGGGGCCCGCACAAGCGGUGGAGCAUGUGGUUUAAUUCGAAGCAACGCGAAGAACCUUACCAGGUCUUGACAUCCUCUGCCAACCCUAGAGAUAGGGCGUUCCCCUUCGGGGGACAGAGUGACAGGUGGUGCAUGGUUGUCGUCAGCUCGUGUCGUGAGAUGUUGGGUUAAGUCCCGCAACGAGCGCAACCCUUGAUCUUAGUUGCCAGCAUUCAGUUGGGCACUCUAAGGUGACUGCCGGUGACAAACCGGAGGAAGGUGGGGAUGACGUCAAAUCAUCAUGCCCCUUAUGACCUGGGCUACACACGUGCUACAAUGGAUGGUACAAAGAGCUGCGAACCCGGCAGGGUAAGCGAAUCUCAUAAAGCCAUUCUCAGUUCGGAUUGUAGGC
This 532-nucleotide ribosomal RNA is filed under the name uncultured bacterium. Its description in RNAcentral is "bacterial SSU rRNA". It matches the Rfam family "Bacterial small subunit ribosomal RNA", at positions 776 to 1305 of the family's 1533-position model. The record is from RNAcentral.